AGCGGCGGACGGGUGAGUAACGCGUGGGAACGUACCCUCUUCUGCGGGAUAGCCACUGGAAACGGUGAGUAAUACCGCAUACGCCCUUCGGGGGAAAGAUUUAUCGGAGGAGGAUCGGCCCGCGUUGGAUUAGGUAGUUGGUGGGGUAAUGGCCUACCAAGCCUACGAUCCAUAGCUGGUUUUAGAGGAUGAUCAGCCACACUGGGACUGAGACACGGCCCAGACUCCUACGGGAGGCAGCAGUGGGGAAUCUUAGACAAUGGGCGCAAGCCUGAUCUAGCCAUGCCGCGUGAGUGACGAAGGCCUUAGGGUCGUAAAGCUCUUUCGCCAGAGAUGAUAAUGACAGUAUCUGGUAAAGAAACCCCGGCUAACUCCGUGCCAGCAGCCGCGGUAAUACGGAGGGGGUUAGCGUUGUUCGGAAUUACUGGGCGUAAAGCGCACGUAGGCGGAUUGGAAAGUUGGGGGUGAAAUCCCAGGGCUCAACCCUGGAACUGCCUCCAAAACUCCCAGUCUGGAGUUCGAGAGAGGUGAGUGGAAUUCCGAGUGUAGAGGUGAAAUUCGUAGAUAUUCGGAGGAACACCAGUGGCGAAGGCGGCUCACUGGCUCGAUACUGACGCUGAGGUGCGAAAGUGUGGGGAGCAAACAGGAUUAGAUACCCUGGUAGUCCACACCGUAAACGAUGAAUGCCAGACGUCGGGUA
This 700-nucleotide ribosomal RNA is filed under the name uncultured Alphaproteobacteria bacterium. RNAcentral describes it as "bacterial SSU rRNA". It matches the Rfam family "Bacterial small subunit ribosomal RNA", at positions 94 to 829 of the family's 1533-position model. Lineage: Bacteria; Pseudomonadati; Pseudomonadota; Alphaproteobacteria. The record is from RNAcentral.